GAUGAACGCUGGCGGCGUGCCUAAUACAUGCAAGUCGAGCGAACGGACGAGAAGCUUGCUUUUCUGAUGUUAGCGGCGGACGGGUGAGUAACAAGUGGAUAACCUACCUAUAAGACUGGGAUAACUUCGGGAAACCGGAGCUAAUACCGGAUAAUAUUUUGAACCGCAUGGUUCAAAAGUGAAAGACGGUCUUGCUGUCACUUAUAGAUGGAUCCGCGCUGCAUUAGCUAGUUGGUAAGGUAACGGCUUACCAAGGCAACGAUGCAUAGCCGACCUGAGAGGGUGAUCGCCCACCCUGGAACUGAGACCCGGUCCAGACUCCUACGGGAGGCAGCAGUAGGGAAUCUUCCGCAAUGGGCGAAAGCCUGACGGAGCAACGCCGCGUGAGUGAUGAAGGUCUUCGGAUCGUAAAACUCUGUUAUUAGUUAAGAACAUAUGUGUAAGUAACUGUGCACAUCUUGACGGUACCUAAUCAGAAAGCCACGGCUAACUACGUG
Molecule: ribosomal RNA, 497 nt
Filed under: uncultured bacterium
Lineage: Bacteria
Description: partial 16S ribosomal RNA
Rfam family: Bacterial small subunit ribosomal RNA
Source: RNAcentral